UAUUAGAAAAACUAGUUUAAUUCACUUAACCUUAUUUCUACAGUUUCCAUUUUGUAGUAUGUCCAUUACUAUGGCUUAAAGAGAAAAAUGCUCACAGAUGCCCUUGUUACUGAUAAGGUCAUUGUCCAUGUAUUUCAGGGACAUCACUUGUCUGUUUACUUGAGUUUGGCAUUGAAUUUUCAAAGGUGAGGAAAGCCUCCCUUCCUGGACUGCAACAACUUAAAGCAAAAAGUGUUUCAUACCAACACAUGUAUUGUCCCAAUUUAAAGAUGAGACUAGGCGUACAAAACAGCUGACGAUUAAGUCAGAGCACAAUUACAUAGUGAGAAAAAGAAAGGAAGAAGAAGGAGAAGAGGGAAGGAGAGGGAGAAGGGAAAGAGAGAAGGAAGAAGAGGAGGAAGAAAAAGAAGGGGAGGAGGAGGAAGAGGAGGAGGAGGCAGAGGAGUUGUCUUUAUUAAGAUUUUCUCUAGAAAGGAAGAAUGCUUUAUCACCUGCUGUCCCGUUCUACUCCUGAGAACAGAGACAGGAAGCUAAUAUUGUACAUUUUCUCCUUUCUUUCCAACUGCAAAGAUUUUUAUGUAUCUUUUUAGUUCCUGAUUUUAAAAAGCACGUUUAAGGCAGCAUGGAUGGAUGCAAACACGAGUGAGACCUGCCCCUGCCAUGGUGAAGUUUAUAAAUCUAACGGGGAACGAGACCAGUGGCGAUGGGGAAAAAAGCAAGUAUGUUAAUAAAUAACACGUCAUAAGGGAGGAACAAAGUGCCAAAGGCCUUGAGAAGAAAGAAAGCACAUCCACCCAGACGGAGGGAAGGAGUGAUUCUGGAGGUGCCUGCAUUGGAUUUGGAUUUUGAAUGAACAAGAUUUCAACAGGAAGAGCAUCUAGCAUCGUGCCUCGCACCUAUCAACAGAAGUUACCAAGACUGCUCAGCUGUUUAUUUGGGAAGUCAAUGAUUUGUUUGAAAUGACUGAAGAAUUAGCCUUGAAUAGUCUACGUGGAACAACUACAGGUGCUGGAAUAUAGCAGUGAACAAAACAGACCAAAAUCUCUGCCUUCAUGGAGCUUGCAUUUCAUGGAUGGAAAACCAUGACAUCUCUAUAACACCCCUUAAAAUGGCCCAAAGACGUGAGUGAAUAGCCUUAGAGUCUCGAAACUCAAUUGACCAUUAUAGGCGAGAAGAAGACCGGUACAAAUGUAAGGUAGGUUUUCACAGCGGGUGUUGGCAAGGUGAGGGAGUCCCUGGCUGAUGACUUCAAUAAAGUAUAAAGUUUGGGCUAGGUCAUCAACAGAAAGCGACAGAGUUGGAUGUGCAUGGGUGUGGGAUGCAUAAAAACUGUUCACUGGGUUCACUGGGUUCCCUGGUUGGUUCAAAUUGACAAAGGCAGCUACAGACAUUCAGCAUCAAUUUUUUACUAUCCCAUUCACACUUUUGGUAUCCAUUUUCUUCUAUUUCUUAUACAAUCUUACUUUCAGACUGAUGGCUUAUAGCUCAAACUUGGGUUAGGGUAAAUUAUGGUCAUCCUAUGUUAAAUAUCACUUUUAUCAUUUUAGAGCUUUUAUUAUGGGAUGAGUAAGAGAUGGCUACGUGCAGAGGGAAUUCAGACAGAUUAACGGACUAAGGAGAGAUUUGUAUAGAAAUCAUCUUAGCCUUCACAUACUUAUCAGUACCAGAAUCCAGGUAGGACAUCACAGUCUCCUGACACCCAUCACUGACAACCUCCUUUUUAUAAUGUGACCAUUUAGGGGGAACACACAGUGCAAUGUAUUACUGUACAAAGAAGGCAUUGAAGCACCUGCAGCAUUGCUUGAUGCCUUUGACUCUGCACUGGGCAUAAGGUUAAAGGGGAAAGAAUAGUGAAGAAAGAAGGCACAGACUACUCCUACCAGCUGCUGAUUAUAGUCAGGCAUGCCCAUUGCUGAUUCAUAAAACCAUCUUCUAAAACUCCAUCUUUCCUCUCAAAACACUUAGCAAAUUCAAAAGAAAAAAAAAUACCUCAUCUGGUUGGAAGGUUGAAUCUUUGCUUCUGUACUAACUUUGUUUUCAGGAAUGAAAACUUUUGCUAAAAAGAGGCUCUGUGAAGGAGAAGCA
Equus caballus (horse) is the source of this 2085-nucleotide non-coding RNA. The record is from RefSeq and is a predicted model, not a curated record. Lineage: Eukaryota; Metazoa; Chordata; Mammalia; Perissodactyla; Equidae.